GUAGGGUGCAAGCGUUGUCCGGUAUUACUGGGUGUAAAGGGAGCGCAGGCGGACCGGCAAGUUGGAAGUGAAAACUAUGGGCUCAACCCAUAAAUUGCUUUCAAAACUGCUGGCCUUGAGUAGUGCAGAGGUAGGUGGAAUUCCCGGUGUAGCGGUGGAAUGCGUAGAUAUCGGGAGGAACACCAGUGGCGAAGGCGACCUACUGGGCACCAACUGACGCUGAGGCUCGAAAGCAUGGGUAGCAAACAGGAUUAGAUACCCUGGUAGUCCAUGCCGUAAACGAUGAUUACUAGGUGUUGGAGGAUUGACCCCUUCAGUGCCGCAGUUAACACAAUAAGUAAUCCACCUGGGGAGUACGACCGCAAGGUUGAAACUCAAAGGAAUUGACGGGGUCACU
This 397-nucleotide ribosomal RNA is filed under the name uncultured bacterium. Its description in RNAcentral is "bacterial SSU rRNA". It matches the Rfam family "Bacterial small subunit ribosomal RNA", at positions 527 to 923 of the family's 1533-position model. The record is from RNAcentral.